Molecule: long non-coding RNA, 1368 nt
Filed under: Anas platyrhynchos (mallard)
Lineage: Eukaryota; Metazoa; Chordata; Aves; Anseriformes; Anatidae
Description: lncRNA (ENSAPLG00020014237.1)
Source: RNAcentral
AUGGGGAUUAUAAACUGGCUGCGAAAACACUCGGGGCUUGUUUCCUCCCCAGACUCUCUUCAGAGCCCUCAGCCACAGCCAGAAAAGGGUAAUCAUUCACCAAUCCCUCCCAGCCCUGGUCCCGAGCACAACGUGAGCACAGCACAGCAGGAGAAACAAAGCAAGGAAGAUUCAUUUAACCGAAGGGUGUCUGUGGACAAAAGCAAAGAUGCAACCCAGGCCUCUUCAGUAAAUGUUGCUGAAAGAGACUCUUGCACUAAUACAUCUGAUUUGGAUUUCCGAGGAAGGGAAGGUAAUCACCAUGAGCAUUCAUCUACAGUGCCUGGGACUGCGGAAACCCGUGGUGCAUCAAAUUAUGCACCACAAUCACAGGCAAACGGAGACAAUCUGCAGACAAGUUCAGAAGGAUACGAGACAUCUGAAGAUAGAAUUCCGCUGGCAGAGAGCUUGAACAGACAGAGUGGCUCACAGAGCUCUGAAAGCCUUUUGUUAAAUGAUAAUCAUGAAGUAGAAUCAUGUUACUCCUAUAAGACUGCUGCGACCUCACCUCUGGAUGCCCUUGAGAGGGAGGACAGAAAUAAACCAAUGUAUCACUCUCUGUCUGUUUGCUCUGACAAACCACCACAGCCUCUUACUCUCAGAGGCUUCGAGAGCUACAUCAGCCCCACACCAAAGGAGAGCAGCACUAACAUCGUGCAGCUCUUAGAGCGAUGCGUAACACAAGUGGCAUCACUAAAACUCGGCUAUGAAAACAAGCACCUGGAAGACAAAUACAUUGGGAAUGAAAUGAACAAUAUCAUUUGUAAGAUGUCUCAGUACAAAAACAAGCUACUGUUGCAAAAUGAAUGCAAUUGUGUUGCUCAAAAGCCAGAAUACCCCAGUAUUGCUUGCACAAACCAAUACAAUUAUGAAACAAGUUUCCAAGCCAGCAGUCUAUAUCAUUUGAAACAAAAUGGGGAGCAAAUUUGCUCCGAGGACCAGAAAGGUAGAGCAAAAAUCCUAGAUGAAGUUGCUAGAGACAAGAUCAGUUUUGAAUAUGCCCAGCUAAAUAAUCAAGCGUUCUCCUAUUUACAAGACUUCACAUUUGGAAGCGAUUCUGCUCCCGCUACAAUGCUCAGCAGGCCAACAUUUUUACCUCUCUUUAACUCUGUCUGCUUAGACAUACCUGCUACUGUUUCAUCAGCUCCCUAUGGCACUGCCAUCCCUCCAGCUGAGUCACUGCAGCACAAGGAGGCCGAGCAGGGCAGCCCAGGGCCCUGGCAUUAUACAGAGUCCCCUUGCAGAUGCCUAGCGGGGGUGACAGCUCUGUCCCCUCACCCAGAGGCAGCAGCCCCGGACACAGCAGUGGUGGGGAGGAACCAGCAAUAA